AGCGCGUGAGGUGUGUGUUCACUACUCUCCUCUUAAAAAAAAGGUCUACUAUACAAAAAGAAAAGGUUCGAGUCGACAGAGAGGCGACUCUGAAAGCAAAAGAACGGAUACAUCUAUCCUCGAGCCGUUAUACUCCACUUGCCUAUUGUCAAAAAAAACAACAACCCAUCAAGCAUCAUGGGAAGAGGUAAAGGCGAGGAGUGGGAUGGAAUGGACGAGGACACGAGGCAGACUCAGCCUCGGAAGCACGAGGAGAACGAGAGUAAAAGCUCCGGGAGCAAAUGUCCCAAAUGCUGCGUGAAGACAAAAAAUUGUCUGAUGAGCCCAGAGUGCGGCAGGGCGCUUCAGAUCUCCCAGGUCGUCGCCAUGUGUGGAAUGUGCAUCCGCUGGUUUGUGUAACCUAACCUUGAACUUCCUGAGCAGUUUUUCCAGGCUGCGUUGAUUCUCAGCGUCCCUCAGCACCUUUCAUCAGAUUCAUGCCAUGUGUUUUUCUUUUCUGGACCGAGAUGGAAAUAUUCACUUUCAGCCCGUUUCAUCAGCUAAAACUCUCUUUUAAUUUCUCUACCCACAAGUUAUUUAUUUAACAUAAACAAUUCACUGUCUGUAUGUAAAACAAACUAAAGAGACAAUCAUUAUGAAUUCAUGAAUGGAUGAAUGUGACUUUGAUCUGCAUGUCUUUGUGAAAGGUUUAUUUGUCUGAUUGAUUAGAAAUAUGUUUUUAUUCAUGGUGAAGUAGUUUUUAGUAAUAAUAUGAAAUAACUGUAAUAUUAAGAUAAUAAUAAACAUGAUGUACCACCUCACGGUUGUAUGUCAUGGAUACAGUUUGUGUCUGUCCAAAAUGUCAUAAUUUUAUCCUGUUAGACAUUUGUGAGGAAUUGUCAUAAUUAGCAUAUGA
This is a long non-coding RNA of Anarrhichthys ocellatus (wolf-eel), 895 nucleotides long. RefSeq lists it as uncharacterized. The record is from RefSeq and is a predicted model, not a curated record. The transcript is spliced from 3 exons. Lineage: Eukaryota; Metazoa; Chordata; Actinopteri; Perciformes; Anarhichadidae.